RNAcentral lists this unclassified non-coding RNA (233 nucleotides) under plant metagenome. Its description in RNAcentral is "partial contains small subunit ribosomal RNA, internal transcribed spacer 1, and 5.8S ribosomal RNA". The record is from RNAcentral.
UUUCCGUAGGCGAACCUGCGGAAGGAUCACUACUGAGUGAGGGCCCUCUGGGUCCAACCUCCCACCCGUGUUUAUUAUACCUUGUUGCUUCGGUGAGCCCGCCUCACGGCCGCCGGGGGGCAUCUGCCCCCGGGCCCGCGCCCACCGAAGACACCUAGAACUCUGUAUGAAGAUUGCAGUCUGAGCAAAAACUAAAUAAGUUAAAACUUUCAACAACGGAUCUCUUGGUUCCG